This 433-nucleotide ribosomal RNA is filed under the name uncultured bacterium. RNAcentral's name for it is "partial 16S ribosomal RNA". It matches the Rfam family "Bacterial small subunit ribosomal RNA", at positions 29 to 507 of the family's 1533-position model. The record is from RNAcentral.
AACGAACGCUGGCGGCAUGCCUAACACAUGCAAGUCGAACGAGACCUUCGGGUCUAGUGGCGCACGGGUGCGUAACGCGUGGGAACCUGCCCUUAGGUUCGGAAUAACUCCCCGAAAGGGGUGCUAAUACCGGAUAAUGUCUUCGGACCAAAGAUUUAUCGCCUUUGGAUGGGCCCGCGUUGGAUUAGCUAGUUGGUAGGGUAAAAGCCUACCAAGGCGACGAUCCAUAGCUGGUCUGAGAGGAUGAUCAGCCACACUGGGACUGAGACACGGCCCAGACGCCUCCGGGAGGCAGUAGUGUUUGAUAUUGGACAAUGCGCGAAAUCCUGAUCCAGCAAUGCCGCGUUAGUGAUGAAGGCCUUAGGGUUGUAAAGCUCUUUUACCCGGUAUGAUAAUGACAGUACCGAGAGAAUAAGCCCCGGCUAACUCCGUG